CGACUUGGGCCUCGUUAUUCAAAAUGCCAUAAUAAUCAUUUUCACAUUCCUACCACCCCCAUUCUCCCAUCCUCAGAAUUUUAAAUGGUCAUCCCCUAAAGACUGGAUUUCGUUGACCGUCAACGGUAUUCAUGACUUCGUAAUGGCUAUGACCGCACCUUACUGUUGCAUAAGUUUACAAAAAAAGAUAAAGAAAUACUUUCAGAAUAUAUGUAAAAAGCGGGAAAAAAUUACCCAAGAAAA
This 243-nucleotide long non-coding RNA is filed under the name Mytilus galloprovincialis (Mediterranean mussel). The record is from RNAcentral. Lineage: Eukaryota; Metazoa; Mollusca; Bivalvia; Mytilida; Mytilidae.